The sequence is an RNase P RNA, 257 nucleotides long. It matches the Rfam family "Archaeal RNase P". From Rfam's summary of the family: Ribonuclease P (RNase P) is a ubiquitous endoribonuclease, found in archaea, bacteria and eukarya as well as chloroplasts and mitochondria. Its best characterised activity is the generation of mature 5'-ends of tRNAs by cleaving the 5'-leader elements of precursor-tRNAs.
GCGAGCUGACAGGGUAGCUUCGCCCUUGUUCCAAAACAAGGGUGAGGAAGUUCCCUCCAUCGAGAGCGCUUCGAAAGAAGCAGGCCGAGAGGUCUUCGUCAGGAUCAGAAACGACACCCUUUAGCUUCGCUAACUAUGAGUGAAAAAUGAGUUGAAGCUAAAGGGAUGAAACGGCCUGACGAGCUCGAUGAGAUGCAAGCCCUAGAGCGCUUAGACAAAUGCUACCUUAAACAGAAGAGGGGCUACUGUCAGCACGC